GGGUGCUCGAGUGGCGAACGGGUGAGUAACACGUGAGUAACCUGCCCUUGACUUUGGGAUAACUUCAGGAAACUGGGUCUAAUACCGGAUAGGAGCCAUCUUUAGUGUGGUGGUUGGAAAGUUUUUCGGUGUAGGAUGAGCUCGCGGCCUAUCAGCUUGUUGGUGGGGUAAUGGCCUACCAAGGCGGCGACGGGUAGCCGGCCUGAGAGGGUGUACGGCCACAUUGGGACUGAGAUACGGCCCAG
This 245-nucleotide ribosomal RNA is filed under the name uncultured Actinomycetales bacterium. RNAcentral's name for it is "partial 16S ribosomal RNA". It matches the Rfam family "Bacterial small subunit ribosomal RNA", at positions 85 to 334 of the family's 1533-position model. Lineage: Bacteria; Bacillati; Actinomycetota; Actinomycetes; Actinomycetales. The record is from RNAcentral.